UGUUGGAACCAUCUGCUGAGCUGCAGAGC
RNAcentral lists this non-coding RNA (29 nucleotides) under Rattus norvegicus (Norway rat). Lineage: Eukaryota; Metazoa; Chordata; Mammalia; Rodentia; Muridae. The record is from RNAcentral.